GGAAUCGUAGCUUAAUAGGUAAAGCAUUGACCUGUCACGUCAAGUAUUGCGAGUUCGAAUCUCGUCUUUUCCG
This 73-nucleotide transfer RNA is filed under the name Ulnaria acus. RNAcentral describes it as "tRNA-Asp". It matches the Rfam family "tRNA". From Rfam's summary of the family: Transfer RNA (tRNA) molecules are approximately 80 nucleotides in length. Their secondary structure includes four short double-helical elements and three loops (D, anti-codon, and T loops). Lineage: Eukaryota; Bacillariophyta; Fragilariophyceae; Fragilariales; Fragilariaceae. The record is from RNAcentral.